UUCUGAUUCCUGCCCCAAAUCGACUAAUUUGUUGCUAAGGUAGCAGCAACCAUUUCUGAUGAAGGGCAUUGUUUAUUUCAUGAUGUGUUUGAACUAGGGUGUCCUUUCGCGCACUUUCCGCCCAAUAGUGUCCCAAAUAUGCUCGAUAUGAUUCAAAUCCGGGCUACGAUCGGGCCAAGGAAGAUGAACCGAAUUCCAUUUGAACAUUGGAUCUUCCUCCACGAUGCUAAUUUCCAACUUUGGCACUAUAUUGGAUACGGAAAACUGUGUGUCUGUUCGUUAGCAAGGGUCUCCGAAAUGGUCUUAUAGCACGAUAACCAGUAGCGAUGAGUCGAUCUCGAACAGUUCUUGUUAAAAGGCUCCUGUAUGGCCACCACUCUCUUUUUAGGAUUGUCUUGUAUGCAAUGGGUUUCCUUCUGACCAACCUUCAUUAUGCUUGAUUUUCCCUAGUAAAUGGUAUAGGGGGUCUUCAUUAUCUCGGAAGGUCUUUAACAGCGUUUAUUGCCUGAUUUUUAUUCUCAAAACGACUUAUAGUGGAAGGUGAUGACCAACAAUACGUGCAGUUGUUACAGCGACAUCCCUGCUUCUCUUAUGCUGAUAAUCUGCCAUCUUGCUGCAGUUAAGAGUUGUCAAGGACCCAUUACAAGGUGUCAAUCACAUAACUUUAAAAACUUGGUUAUUUAAAGUGUUGAAAACAAUGAGGAUAAAAACAUCUGUUUUGCUG
Molecule: long non-coding RNA, 724 nt
Filed under: Mytilus galloprovincialis (Mediterranean mussel)
Lineage: Eukaryota; Metazoa; Mollusca; Bivalvia; Mytilida; Mytilidae
Source: RNAcentral